AGAGUUUGAUCCUGGCUCAGAACGAACGCUGGCGGCAGGCUUAACACAUGCAAGUCGAACGCGUGUAGCAAUACACGAGUGGCGCACGGGUGAGUAACGCGUGGAUAUCUGCCUUUUGGUUCGGAAUAACCCCGGGAAACUGGGGCUAAUACCGGAUGGUUCCUUCGGGAUAAAGAUUUAUCGCCAAAAGAUGAGUCCGCGUCCGAUUAGCUAGUUGGUGAGGUAAUGGCUCACCAAGGCGACGAUCGGUAGCUGGUCUGAGAGGACGAUCAGCCACACUGGGACUGAGACACGGCCCAGACUCCUACGGGAGGCAGCAGUGGGGAAUAUUGGACAAUGGGGGCAACCCUGAUCCAGCCAUGCCGCGUGAGUGAUGAAGGCCUUCGGGUUGUAAAGCUCUUUUGGCGGGGACGAUGAUGACGGUACCCGCAGAAUAAGCCC
RNAcentral lists this ribosomal RNA (441 nucleotides) under uncultured bacterium. RNAcentral's name for it is "bacterial SSU rRNA". It matches the Rfam family "Bacterial small subunit ribosomal RNA", at positions 8 to 493 of the family's 1533-position model. The record is from RNAcentral.